GCCGUUUAAAGGCGUGACGGUGUCGAAGCGCGCGCAAGCGCGUGGAGAUGAAGAGGGAACACGGUGCGGCGCGACGAGCGCCAAAACCGUGGCUGCGCCCGCAACUGUAAGCGGCAAGUCCUCUCCAAAUACGCCACUGGCGCUCCGCGUUGGAGCCCCGGGAAGGCUGGAGAGCGACGUUCGAGCCGUAAGCCAGGAGACCUGCCGCCACAAGUCGCCCAUC
RNAcentral lists this non-coding RNA (223 nucleotides) under Hyphomicrobium nitrativorans NL23. Lineage: Bacteria; Pseudomonadati; Pseudomonadota; Alphaproteobacteria; Hyphomicrobiales; Hyphomicrobiaceae. The record is from RNAcentral. RNAcentral also lists the same sequence under 1 other name.